ACGCUCGACACCUACGGGGGCAGCAGUGAGGGAUAUUGGUCAAUGGGGGAAACCCUGAACCAGCAACGCCGCGUGAGGGAUGACGGUCUUCGGAUUGUAAACCUCUGUCCUCUGUGAAGAUAAUGACGGUAGCAGAGGAGGAAGCUCCGGCUAACUACGUGCCAGCAGCCGUGGUAAUCUGAGCGGGCUGGCAAGGC
Molecule: ribosomal RNA, 197 nt
Filed under: uncultured bacterium
Lineage: Bacteria
Description: partial 16S ribosomal RNA
Rfam family: Bacterial small subunit ribosomal RNA
Source: RNAcentral